AAUGUUAGCAGGAGGCAAUCAUAAGAAGCCUGUCAUCCUAGUCCCUUAAGAGGGGGUGGAUGGCUUUGGUAAUUUUAUGAAUUAUAGCUAUGUUGUCAUUUAAGGGGAUGGUUACAAAUAGUCAUGGUCUUGGACUGGAAAUUUAAAGGACUCCUAUUUAAUUUCUUUUCUAAAGAAAUUAAAUAGGGAGUUUAGACUCAGGGAUUUCCAUCCCUCUUUUCCUUUUCUAUACCCUUCUUUCUCAGAUAAAGCUAAGGGAUUUGAGAAGAAAAAUGGGGAAUAUAGAAAUAUCAUAAAAUAAUAAGAUAAAGGAUAGAUUACUAAAUAUACUCUUUAACUUUGAGCUAUUGUUAUUCUCAAUUCUGUUAUUUUGUUACAUUGGUAUAAAAUGCUGUAUAUUUCUAUAGGUUUAAGGAUUUCAUUGGUAAAUCUGGUAAAUUUAAGGUUAAUUUUGUUACAAUAUAAUAUAUGUAUUUUUAACUUGUAUAUAGGUAUUGUGCCUUGUGGCUCAUUUGAAAAUGCAAGGUUUCAUCCCAGCCCUUUUAGUAGCUGCUAUUGCAAACUAUUAGAGAUGGUUAAGAAAUACAAGUUAAUAAGACAGUCAAAGUCAUGGCCAUGUCAGAUAUUAGUCUAUAUCAUCAGAGAAAUAUGCAUCCUGGAUUGGACAGGUAUCUGAAGACCGCAAUAUUUGCUUGUUCAGAUAUGCUAUGAAUAGAUAAAUAUCCUAUGAAUAGAUAGUCCUCAGAGACUUAAAGAAUAUAUCAUUUAAAGAUUUUUUAUUAUUAAUUUAAGGCUUUUUUUUUGACAUUGAGACAUGUCAGCUCCUAGCAGAACCCCAUUCGACUUGGAAGAAGAUGAUGAGCAUUGAAGGAGCUGUAUUUGGAGAUGGCUUCAUUUGUGGCAAGCUCCUCAAUGGGCAAAGAAAUGCUCUAACUUCAUCUGCAAACAGAAUGCUCUCCAGAAAGGACAAACAACACAGGGGAGUCAACUGCCAAGUCUGCCAAGACAGGGUAAGCAAGCACUUCAUAGUUCCUGCUUCUCAGAAUGUCUGUCAGAUACACUGGGCCAGAAGGCUGAAAAUAGAUGCUCCAACUUUAAAGAGGUUAUUGGGGACUGUCCAGGCAGCACCUGUCUCAGUCAUUUCUAUAAUUUUUGGAAAUUGUGUCCCUGUACUUCCUGCAUACUCAGGUAACAUUUAUUCCUUUUCAGGUCUCUGGUGGGGUUGAAGUCUAGAUAGUCAGAGUCUCACAAUUAAACGUAAGUUACAAAAGAUCUAGGGAAAUGUUUUAAAGUCUCAGUAGAUGUUUUAAGGUUGGUAAUUACAAAUUAUGAAAGUUAGAGGAUUUAAAUGAUUGAAUAUAAAAAACAUGGUUUGGAUGCAGAACUCUAAACUUACUAGGAUAAGAAAGAGAAUAUAAUAAUUUCUCCUGCGUUGCCAAAUACAAACAGAUUGGACUUUUUGAAUGUAACUCUUAUCUAGUCCUUUUCAUUAUUUAUUUAGACAAAAAGAGGAAAUGUUGAGGUCUUGUCUAUUGCUAUCUAUUGUAAUGCAAAAAUUUGUAUCCCAAGGUCUAGUUUAGCAUGUUACUCAAGAAGAGUGAAUUCUCAUGGAUACCAGCUUUUGUUGUACAAUCCUAGUUCCUUAAUUUAAAACUAUUGGUUGAGCAGCCCAUCCUGUAGCUGGGCAUAAGAGAGGUAGGCAAGGCUUCAGCUCCCAGGCUGGGUUUCUGAAAUGGAGACUAAGAGGGAGAGAAGGAGGGGAAGGCUCAUGCCAUGAGGUAUGUGGAUCAUGAGCGCAUGGCCAUGAGAGCUGGUCUGCUGGAGUAGGAGAGGCCUACAUGGAACUUGGCAAGUAAUGUCUCAGGAUUAUUGACAGGGAGGUAGAAAAAACAGCACAGAGGACUGAUAUCUGCCCAGCUCAGGUGCUUUAAAGCUUAUUAUAAAAUAUAAAGGUUUUGUGUCUUUUAUUUGGGAACUACAUGGUCUAAGGUGGAGAAGAAACUCCAAAUAAUAUUUACUGCAACUUUAAUCUGAUGGGGGCACCAAUCUGAUGGAGGUACCAAUCUGAUGGGGGCACCAAUCUGAUGGGGGCACCAAUCUGAUGGAUGCAAUGUUUCAGUUGAGGUUCUCUCUUCCCAGGUGACCCUAGUUUUUGUCGCAUUGAUGAAAAAUAACCAGUACAGCCAUUUAAAAGAAUGCUUGCUUUGAUGAAGAGACAUUUUGAUCACCGUUUCAAACACAAAUUUACUUGUACUAUCAAUUUUUUUUCUGUUUCUUCUGCCCCACAAAUAUUACAAAACACAGGAAAUAGAUGGUUAGCAUGAACAAAGAUAUUAUCUAUUUAAAUAAUCAGGGCAACUCAUAGAGCUAACAUGCUAAAUAUUUUUUUUAAAUACUCAAUAUUCUUCAUUUACUACAAACUAGAGACUUGCAUGGAUGUGUCAGAACUCUGAUUAGCCAAGCUCGAGUGCUGGGUGCAGAGGUCCAACAGGAACCAGGUCUUGGGUGACCCUCCCUCUUUUGUGUACAUGGAACGAAAAGACAGUUGGUGGCAUCAUGUAGAUAUCUUUGAUCAUCUUUCUUCAGUGAAAAUACCUUGUGAUGGACAUUUUCUC
RNAcentral lists this long non-coding RNA (2615 nucleotides) under Mus musculus (house mouse). Its description in RNAcentral is "long non-coding RNA chr13:95060821-95063436". Lineage: Eukaryota; Metazoa; Chordata; Mammalia; Rodentia; Muridae. The record is from RNAcentral.